Long non-coding RNA from Acanthochromis polyacanthus (spiny chromis), 4127 nucleotides. RefSeq lists it as uncharacterized. NCBI's taxonomy places the organism in Eukaryota, Metazoa, Chordata, Actinopteri, Pomacentridae. The transcript has 6 exons. The record is from RefSeq and is a predicted model, not a curated record.
GUUUAAAAUAAAGUUCAAACGGUUUGAUGUGCUGCAAAUACUGGAUUUUUAUUCUUCUUAUACUUUAUUAUUUUAUUUGUUUGGACUAAUAAGGCCUUAAGGGAGGGAAAAGAUAAAAUCCACACAAAAGGACACAAAAUCACCACAAAAGUUGCAAAAUCACCACAGAAAGAAGUGAAAUCAUCAUACAAAGACACAAAAUCACCACAAAAAGAUGCCAAAUUACCAAAAAGACGCAAAAUCACUUCUAAAAGGUGUAAAAUCACCAUAGAAAGACACAGAAUCAUGACAAAAGGAUGUGAAAUUACAACAAAGACACAAAAUAACCAUUAAAAGAUGCAAAAUCAGCACAAAAAGCAGCAAAAUCAGCACAAAAAAUGUUAAAUCACCAAAGAAAGAUGCAAAAUCACACCAAAAAGAUGCGGAAUUACCACAAAAAAAAAAACCACAAAAUUACCACAAAAACAUGUAAAAUCCUCACAAAGAUGCAAAAUGACCACAAAAAGAUGCAAACUCACCAUAAAAACAUGUAAAAUCACCACAAAAUGGUUCAAAAGCACCACAAAAAGAUACAGAAUCACCAACAAAACGCAAAAGAAUUGCUAGAAAAAGAUGCAAAACCACCGCACAAAGACACAAAACAGCGACACCAAGCAGUGAAAGCCCGGCUGUGUGUCUGUUUUUGUGUGGGUGUAAAGGUCACUGCAGGUUUGGGUGCAGCUGUAAAUAGAAAUGUGGUGCUGAAGGUUUCGGGAACGUUACGUAUUCCAUCAUUAAUUAAAGUAUUUCUCCUGUCGGGACGUUUUAAUGGCACCACAUGAAAAUGAUUCCUGAAGGCCGGCUGAUGGAUGGGUCGGUCAAUAUUGUAGGAGUUGUUUUUAUCAGGAGGAAAGUUCCACAUUAUCAGCCUCCACAUUUAACCCAAUAUUUACUCGUGAACACCUCCAGUGUUUCCACAGCGUCCUGAACAGUCAGGCUGUUAGUUCUGACCUAUUUAACUCAGAGUUCACUGGCAUCAAGUCAAAGGGACCAAAGAGACACAAAAUGACUGGAAACAAACACAAAGAGACACAAAUAACCCACACAGACUGAAACAAAUGCUAAAAGAUGCAAAAUGAACAGAAACAGAUGCCAAUUCUGUAUAAACGGAGAUAAAACAUCACCUUUUAGACACAUAAAACGCCAACUAGACGCAAAAAAGACACAAACCAACAGAGAUGCAAAAUGAGACACACAAACUAACCAAAAAGUGAUCAAAACUGACUAAAAAAAGAAGCAAAAUCAACACAAAGAAAAGCAAAACCAACGCUAACAAAGACAAAACAGCCAUAAAAGACACACAAAAUCAUUCAGAAAGUCAGAAAAACGACUAUAAAGGCACAAAACGACAACAGAAAGACAGAAUUAAUCACUGAGAUGCAGAAUGAACACAACCAGAUGUAAAACCAGCAUAAGAGCAGCAAAGAGACACAAAAUUACACAAAACCAAUACCAAGAGUCACAAAAUGAAGACAAAGACACACAAAAUAAGACGCGAAAUCACUAAAAAAAAAGCAAAAUCACUACAAAGAGCCAAAAUGACCACAAAAAGACGGACAAUCGCCACAAAAAGAUAGAACCAGUGGAGAAUAUAAAGUCCUACCAACAGGUGAAGAAACAACACAAAGUCCUACCAACAGGUAAAUAAACAACAAAGUCCUACCAACAGGUGAAGAAACAACACAAAGUCCUACCAACAGGUAAAUAAACAACAAAGUCCUACCAACAGGUGAAGAAACAACACAAAGUCCUACCAACAGGUAAAUAAACAACAAAGUCCUACCAACAGGUGAAGAAACAACACAAAGUCCUACCAACAGGUAAAUAAACAACAAAGUCCUACCAACAGGUAAAUAAACAACAAAGUCCUACCAACAGGUAAAUAAACAACAAAGUCCUACCAACAGGUGAAGAAACAACACAAAGUCCUACCAACAGGUAAAUAAACAACAAAGUCCUACCAACAGGUAAAUAAACAACAAAGUCCUACCAACAGGUAAAUAAACAACAAAGUCCUACCAACAGGUGAAGAAACAACACAAAGUCCUACCAACAGGUGAAGAAACAACACAAAGUCCUACCAACAGGUAAACAAACAACAAAGUCCUACCAACAGGUAAAAAAACAACACAAAGUCCUACCAACAGGUGAAGAAACAACAAAGUCCUACCAACAGGUGAAGAAACAACAAAGUCCUACCAACAGGUAAAUAAACAACAUAAAGUCCUACCAACAGGUAAAUAAACAACAUAAAGUCCUCCUACCAACAGGUAAAUAAACAACAUAAAGUCCUACCAACAGGUAAAAAAACAACACAAAGUCCUACCAACAGGUGAAGAAACAACAAAGUCCUACCAACAGGUAAAUAAACAACAUAAAGUCCUACCAACAGGUAAAUAAACAACAAAGUCCUACCAACAGGUAAAUAAACAACAUAAAGUCCUACCAACAGGUAAAUAAACAACACAGUUCUACCAACAGGUGAAGAAACAACACAAAGUCCUACCAACAGGUAAACAAACAACAAAGUCCUACCAACAGGUAAAAAAACAACACAAAGUCCUACCAACAGGUGAAGAAACAACAAAGUCCUACCAACAGGUGAAGAAACAACAAAGUCCUACCAACAGGUAAAUAAACAACAUAAAGUCCUACCAACAGGUAAAUAAACAACAUAAAGUCCUCCUACCAACAGGUAAAUAAACAACAUAAAGUCCUACCAACAGGUAAAUAAACAACAAAGUCCUACCAACAGGUAAAAAAACAACACAAAGUCCUACCAACAGGUGAAGAAACAACAAAGUCCUACCAACAGGUGAAGAAACAACAACGUCCUACCAACAGGUAAAUAAACAACAUAAAGUCCUACCAACAGGUAAAUAAACAACACAAAGUCCUACCAACAGGUAAAUAAACAACAAAGUCCUACCAACAGGUGAAGAAACAACACAAAGUCCUACCAACAGGUAAAUAAACAACAAAGUCCUACCAACAGGUAAAUAAACAACAAAGUUCUACCAACAGGUAAAUAAACAACAAAGUCCUACCAACAGGUGAAGAAACAACACAAAGUCCUACCAACAGGUGAAGAAACAACAAAGUCCUACCAACAGGUAAAUAAACAACAUAAAGUCCUACCAACAGGUGAAGAAACAACAAAGUCCUACCAACAGGUAAAUAAACAACAAAGUCCUACCAACAGGUAAAAAAACAACACAAAGUCCUACCAACAGGUGAAGAAACAACAAAGUCCUACCAACAGGUAAAUAAACAACAUAAAGUCCUACCAACAGGUAAAUAAACAACAUAAAGUCCUCCUCCCAACAGGUAAAUAAACAACAUAAAGUCCUACCAACAGGUAAAUAAACAACAAAGUCCUACCAACAGGUAAAAAAACAACACAAAGUCCUACCAACAGGUGAAGAAACAACAAAGUCCUACCAACAGGUGAAGAAACAACAACGUCCUACCAACAGGUAAAUAAACAACAUAAAGUCCUACCAACAGGUAAAUAAACAACAAAGUCCUACCAACAGGUAAAAAAACAACACAAAGUCCUACCAACAGGUGAAGAAACAACAAAGUCCUACCAACAGGUAAAUAAACAACAUAAAGUCCUACCAACAGGUAAAUAAACAACAUAAAGUCCUACCAACAGGUAAAUAAACAACAUAAAGUCCUACCAACAGGUGAAGAAACAACAAAGUCCUACCAACAGGUAAAUAAACAACAUAAAGUCCUACCAACAGGUAAAUAAACAACAUAAAGUCCUCCUCCCAACAGGUAAAUAAACAACAUAAAGUCCUACCAACAGGUAAAUAAACAACAAAGUCCUACCAACAGGUAAAAAAACAACACAAAGUCCUACCAACAGGUGAAGAAACAACAAAGUCCUACCAACAGGUAAAUAAACAACAUAAAGUCCUACCAACAGGUAAAUAAACAACAUAAAGUCCUACCAACAGGUAAAUAAACAACAUAAAGUCCUACCAACAGGUGAAUAAACAACAAAGUCCUACCAACAGGUAAAUAAACAACAAAGUCCUACCAACAGGUGAAUAGAGCUGGAGGUGGAACUCUGACCUGCU